Molecule: long non-coding RNA, 193 nt
Organism: Cryptotermes secundus
Lineage: Eukaryota; Metazoa; Arthropoda; Insecta; Blattodea; Kalotermitidae
Exons: 2
Source: RefSeq, a predicted model, not a curated record
UUUGUCGAAUGUUGUGUAUUCAUGUUUCAGGCAAGGGCUUUCUCAACUUCGUCUGUUCAGCAGCAGUUAGUAAAACCUCCUAUUCAAGUGUUUGGACUUGAAGGACGAUAUGCUACUGCACUCUUUUCUGCUGCCAGCAAGCAGAAACAGCUAGAUGCUGUAGAGAAAGAACUUGUUAAAUUUAAGGUAUGUU